UGGGGAAUAUUGCACAAUGGGGGAAACCCUGAUGCAGCGACGCCGCGUGGAGGAAGAAGGUCUUCGGAUUGUAAACUCCUGUUGUUGAGGAAGAUAAUGACGGUACUCAACAAGGAAGUGACGGCUAACUACGUGCCAGCAGCCGCGGUAAAACGUAGGUCACAAGCGUUGUCCGGAAUUACUGGGUGUAAAGGGAGCGCAGGCGGGCGAUCAAGUUGGAAGUGAAAUCCAUGGGCUCAACCCAUGAACUGCUUUCAAAACUGAUUGUCUUGAGUAGUGCAGAGGUAGGCGGAAUUCCCGGUGUAGCGGUGGAAUGCGUAGAUAUCGGGAGGAACACCAGUGGCGAAGGCGGCCUACUGGGCACCAACUGACGCUGAGGCUCGAAAGUGUGGGUAGCAAACAGGAUUAGAUACCCUGGUAGUCCACACCGUAAACGAUGAUUACUAGGUGUUGGAGGAUUGACCCCUUCAGUGCCGCAGUUAACACAAUAAGUAAUCCACCUGGGGAGUACGACCGCAAGGUUGAAACUCAAAGGAAUUGACGGGGGCCCGCACAAGCAGUGGAGUAUGUGGUUUAAUUCGACGCAACGCGAAGAACCUUACCAAGUCUUGACAUCCUGCGACGAUGCUAGAAAUAGUAUUUUCCUUCGGGACGCAGAGACAGGUGGUGCAUGGUUGUCGUCAGCUCGUGUCGUGAGAUGUUGGGUUAAGUCCCGCAACGAGCGCAACCCUUAUGGUCAGUUACUACGCAAGAGGACUCUGGCCAGACUGCCGUUGACAAAACGGAGGAAGGUGGGGAUGACGUCAAAUCAUCAUGCCCUUUAUGACUUGGGCUACACACGUACUACAAUGGCGUUAAACAAAGAGAAGCAAGACCGCGAGGUGGAGCAAAACUCAGAAACAACGUCCCAGUUCGGACUGCAGGCUGCAACUCGCCUGCACGAAGUCGGAAUUGCUAGUAAUCGCAGAUCAGCAUGCUGCGGUGAAUACGUUCCC
This 995-nucleotide ribosomal RNA is filed under the name uncultured bacterium. Its description in RNAcentral is "bacterial SSU rRNA". It matches the Rfam family "Bacterial small subunit ribosomal RNA", at positions 355 to 1375 of the family's 1533-position model. The record is from RNAcentral.